Molecule: long non-coding RNA, 208 nt
Organism: Drosophila ficusphila
Lineage: Eukaryota; Metazoa; Arthropoda; Insecta; Diptera; Drosophilidae
Exons: 2
Source: RefSeq, a predicted model, not a curated record
UAAAUACUGGCUCAAAACAAUCAGCAAUGUAUACUAAGGUGUUUCUACUUGCUGUCCUUUUUUGCCUGGUGGGAGCAGUCCUCUCCAGACAACGUGAAAAAUGGUGCCGACUUAACUUAGGACCUGCUAAUGGCGGAAGAUGCUAAACAUUAAAAAAAAAGUGUAAAAUUCUUUUUAUACUUCUGCGAAAUAAAGAAGGAAACGUGGA